AAAGUCGUAACAAGGUCUCCGUUGGUGAACCAGCGGAGGGAUCAUUACCGAGUUUACAACUCCCAAACCCCUGUGAACAUACCUAUACGUUGCCUCGGCGGAUCAGCCCGCGCCCCGUAAAAAGGGACGGCCCGCCCGAGGACCCCUAAACUCUGUUUUUAGUGGAACUUCUGAGUAAAACAAACAAAUAAAUCAAAACUUUCAACAACGGAUCUCUUGGUUCUGGCAUCGAUGAAGAACGCAGCAAAAUGCGAUAAGUAAUGUGAAUUGCAGAAUUCAGUGAAUCAUCGAAUCUUUGAACGCACAUUGCGCCCGCCAGUAUUCUGGCGGGCAUGCCUGUUCGAGCGUCAUUUCAACCCUCAAGCUCAGCUUGGUGUUGGGACUCGCGGUAACCCGCGUUCCCCAAAUCGAUUGGCGGUCACGUCGAGCUUCCAUAGCGUAGUAAUCAUACACCUCGUUACUGGUAAUCGUCGCGGCCACGCCGUAAAACCCCAACUUCUGAAUGUUGACCUCGGAUCAGGUAGGAAUACCCGCUGAACUUAAGCAUAUCAAUAA
Molecule: ribosomal RNA, 555 nt
Filed under: Fusarium equiseti
Lineage: Eukaryota; Fungi; Ascomycota; Sordariomycetes; Hypocreales; Nectriaceae
Description: eukaryotic LSU rRNA
Rfam family: 5.8S ribosomal RNA (bases 197-350)
Source: RNAcentral